AAAGCCUUAGCUUAAUUAAAGCGUCUGCUUUGCAUGCAGAAGAUGUGGGAUAGUAUCCUGCAGGUUUUA
RNAcentral lists this transfer RNA (69 nucleotides) under Heniochus acuminatus (pennant coralfish). RNAcentral's name for it is "tRNA-Ala". It matches the Rfam family "tRNA". From Rfam's summary of the family: Transfer RNA (tRNA) molecules are approximately 80 nucleotides in length. Lineage: Eukaryota; Metazoa; Chordata; Actinopteri; Chaetodontiformes; Chaetodontidae. The record is from RNAcentral.